This 468-nucleotide ribosomal RNA is filed under the name uncultured bacterium. RNAcentral describes it as "partial 16S ribosomal RNA". It matches the Rfam family "Bacterial small subunit ribosomal RNA", at positions 28 to 507 of the family's 1533-position model. The record is from RNAcentral.
GACGAACGCUGGCGGCGUGCUUAACACAUGCAAGUCGAACGGAAAGGCCCUGCUUUUGUGGGGUGCUCGAGUGGCGAACGGGUGAGUAACACGUGAGUAACCUGCCCUUGACUUUGGGAUAACUUCAGGAAACUGGGGCUAAUACCGGAUAGGAGCUCCUGCUGCAUGGUGGGGGUUGGAAAGUUUCGGCGGUUGGGGAUGGACGCGCGGGUUAUCAGCUUGUUGGUGGGGUAGUGGCUUACCAAGGCUUUGACGGGUAGCCGGCCUGAGAGGGUGACCGGCCACAUUGGGACUGAGAGACGGCGCAGACUCCUACGGGAGGCAGCAGUGGGGAAUAUUGCCCAAUGGGCGGAAGCCUGAUGCAGCAACGCCGCGUGCGGGAUGACGGCCUUCGGGUUGUAAACCGCUUUCGCCUGUGACGAAGCGUGAGUGACGGUAAUGGGUAAAGAAGCACCGGCUAACUACGUG